ACCGGGCGCGGAGGUGCACGCCUGCCAUCCUGGCACUCGGGAGGCUGAGGCAGGAGGAUCACGAGUUCAAAGCCAGCCUCGGAAAGCGAGGCCCUAAGCAACUCAGUGAGACCCUGUCUCUA
Molecule: small RNA, 122 nt
Filed under: Marmota monax (woodchuck)
Lineage: Eukaryota; Metazoa; Chordata; Mammalia; Rodentia; Sciuridae
Source: RNAcentral